RNAcentral lists this long non-coding RNA (495 nucleotides) under Ananas comosus (pineapple). Its description in RNAcentral is "long non-coding RNA (ACOM_LNC009509)". Lineage: Eukaryota; Viridiplantae; Streptophyta; Magnoliopsida; Poales; Bromeliaceae. The record is from RNAcentral.
AUAGAUAGUGUGGUAAUACUGAGGAGAACUCGCGAAACUCCAUUUCCAUUACGAAUUUAAUAGGGUUUUUGGAGAUGUUUUAUGAAUCUAGUAGUUUUUUUUUAGAAAAAACUUCAAAUAUUAUUUCUGUGGUUUUGCACUUUUUUAUUUUACCAUUUGGUUUAAAGUGUACCAAUUUAGUACCCGUGAUUUUAUUUUUCUCUUUUUAUUAUUCCCUCUACUAAUUUUUUUUCAUUAAAUUAGUAACAGAGUUAAAAUUAAAAGGUACUAAAGUGAAUAUUCGAUAAAUCUAGGUAGAGUAUCUGAAUUUUUUUGUAUAUAAUUUAACGAAAUGUUAACAGAGGAGCUGACAAAAAUAGAAAAAUAAAACCACAAAGUACUAAUUAAAUUAAUACACUUUAAACCAUAUGGUUCUAAAAUAAAAAAGUGCAAAACCACAUGAGUGAUAUUCGAAGUUUACCAAUUUUUUAUAUAGGUGUGACCUGUAGUAGGCAC